This 527-nucleotide ribosomal RNA is filed under the name uncultured bacterium. RNAcentral's name for it is "bacterial SSU rRNA". It matches the Rfam family "Bacterial small subunit ribosomal RNA", at positions 777 to 1301 of the family's 1533-position model. The record is from RNAcentral.
AAUAGAUACCCCGGUAGUCCACGCCGUAAACGAUGAGUGCUAAGUGUUAGGGGGUUUCCGCCCCUUAGUGCUGCAGCUAACGCAUUAAGCACUCCGCCUGGGGAGUACGGCCGCAAGGCUGAAACUCAAAGGAAUUGACGGGGGGCCCGCACAAGCGGUGGAGCAUGUGGUUUAAUUCGAAGCAACGCGAAGAACCUUACCAGGUCUUGACAUCCUCUGACAACUCUAGAGAUAGAGCGUUCCCCUUCGGGGGACAGAGUGACAGGUGGUGCAUGGUUGUCGUCAGCUCGUGUCGUGAGAUGUUGGGUUAAGUCCCGCAACGAGCGCAACCCUUGAUCUUAGUUGCCAGCAUUCAGUUGGGCACUCUAAGGUGACUGCCGGUGACAAACCGGAGGAAGGUGGGGAUGACGUCAAAUCAUCAUGCCCCUUAUGACCUGGGCUACACACGUGCUACAAUGGACGGUACAAAGAGUCGCAAGACCGCGAGGUGGAGCUAAUCUCAUAAAACCGUUCUCAGUUCGGAUUGC